Non-coding RNA from Meleagris gallopavo (turkey), 233 nucleotides. Lineage: Eukaryota; Metazoa; Chordata; Aves; Galliformes; Phasianidae. The record is from RefSeq and is a predicted model, not a curated record.
UGGGAAAGGAUCUUUUUCUGAAGAUUCCUUUGUUUGGAGUUUUUCCACUGAGCCCAGGAUAAGGGGAAGAAGUAGUCAAGCAGAAGUAUCAACUCUUCACAGCUUACUUUCAUAUGCACAGCCUAAUGGGUGAGCUUCAAAGCUUGGGCUCAUUCAUUCCUCUCCAUGGAAGCACAAGUGUGCUGCAGAAGACAUCUAGAAAACUGUGGCUGUGUUGGAACAGAGGUGGUAUA